RNAcentral lists this ribosomal RNA (396 nucleotides) under uncultured bacterium. Its description in RNAcentral is "partial 16S ribosomal RNA". It matches the Rfam family "Bacterial small subunit ribosomal RNA", at positions 360 to 773 of the family's 1533-position model. The record is from RNAcentral.
AAUAUUGGACAAUGGGCGAAAGCCUGAUCCAGCCAUGCCGCGUGAGUGAUGAAGGNCUNNGGGUUNUNAAGCUCUUUCAGUGGNNNNNAUAAUGACGGUNCCCACAGAAGAAGCCCCGGCUAACUUCGUGCCAGCAGCCGCGGUAAUACGAAGGGGGCUAGCGUUGUUCGGAUUUACUGGGCGUAAAGCGCACGUAGGCGGAUUGGUCAGUUAGGGGUGAAAUCCCAGAGCUCAACUCUGGAACUGCCCUUAAUACUGCCAUUCUAGAGUCCGGAAGAGGUGAGUGGAACUCCUAGUGUAGAGGUGGAAUUCGUAGAUAUUAGGAAGAACACCAGUGGCGAAGGCGGCUCACUGGUCCGGUACUGACGCUGAGGUGCGAAAGCGUGGGGAGCAAAC